This 237-nucleotide ribosomal RNA is filed under the name uncultured bacterium. RNAcentral's name for it is "partial 16S ribosomal RNA". It matches the Rfam family "Bacterial small subunit ribosomal RNA", at positions 99 to 334 of the family's 1533-position model. The record is from RNAcentral.
CAAACGGGUGAGUAACACGUAUCCAACCUGCCGUCUACUCUUGGCCAGCCUUCUGAAAGGAAGAUUAAUCCAGGAUGGCAUCAUGAGUUCACAUGUCCGCAUGAUUAAAGGUAUUUUCCGGUAGACGAUGGGGAUGCGUUCCAUUAGAUAGUAGGCGGGGUAACGGCCCACCUAGUCAACGAUGGAUAGGGGUUCUGAGAGGAAGGUCCCCCACAUUGGAACUGAGACACGGUCCAA